UCUCUCUAAACACUCUCGCGGUACUUUGAUAUCAUACGCCGAUCGGUCUGCGCAGAGCCGAUGCAUCUCGAACAAGCCUUUCGUUUGUGAAUCGGAGUAAGUUACUCGUCGCGCUGCAGAUUCAGCAGCGUUGUUGACUACCAAGCGGUUCACUUCCGUUGACACCGUUGAUGGAGACGUACAGGUUUCGAGUUGCCGCGCUCCCGCCAUUUAAGAUCCAAACGACAGCAAGCAUCAUCAGUAUCUGGUUCACUGCUCGAGUCCUGUACCUCCACGAGAGAUGCUCCACCAGGAAACUGUGAAUGAGAUGUUUGGGAAACAGCUUUCUCCAGAUGAAAGAAAGUCCUAAGAGUUUGAAGCGACAGCAGGGGGAUUGUGGUAUGCCAGCGGAGGGCACGGCAUGAACAGAGAGGGCAAGGGAACAUGAAAAGGUCUGCUCUGCUGGGACUGGCACUCUCUGGCUCUGCGGCGGAAUAAAAGCGACAGUAAGGAUUAGAAGAGCGUUCCUCAGCUUGCAGGAUAAGCUGAUCUUCCAUACUCCAGGCCAGUCUGGGGAUUGACACAUCAGAUGAAGAUAUGAAGUGGUGGGUGUGCGUGGAGGCGGGCCAGGCGCCCAGCGAGUCCCCGCGCUUCUCACUUGGUUAACACCUCACACAGAGCACAGAGCCAGGAAUACACUGCCUCUCUCUCUCUCUCUCUCUCUCUCUCCCUCUCCCUCUCCCUCUCCCUCUCUCUCUCUCUCCCUCUCCCUCUCUCUCUCUCUCUCUCUCUCUCUCUCUCUCUCUGACUAAAACAGUUCAUUUGGACCUGCAGGGUCUUCUGCUCCUCAGAGCUUCCACUGAUGGAGGUGGGAGAUAUUCUUAACUAACAGCGGAAGAACAAGAAUGGUUAUUGAACAGUUUUAUCACCAAUUGUUUGCGCGUAUGUAACUUGUCUUUCAUAGACCUUGUCUUUCAUUUUUGUUGCAUUGUUUUUUGUUUUUUUUUGUUUUUGUAUCAGAUUUGCAGAUUUCAGCUUUUUUUUUUACUUUUGCUAUAUGAAGAUCAGAGUAAGUUUUGGAAACUUUGUAUAGCGCUUCAUUUUUUUUCUACUUUUAAAAUGCAUUUUAUGUAUAGAUUUUAUUUAGGUUCUAUUUUGUCAUUUUUUACACAAAUUAUGACUGUCCCAUGGUUAUGACAUAAUUUCCAUCAUGUCCAACAAUUUAGCAAUUUAACAAUUUGUGUGAAAUUACAAAGUAAUUUUAAAUUUGUAAAUUUAAAGUAAAAUAAAAAAAGCUAUGUUAAAUAUAUAUAUUAUAAAAUUUAUAAUAAUAAUGUUUCAUAGCUAUGCUUUUUGUUUAUAUCUUAAAUAUUAUGUUGUGUAUUUAAGAUAAUUAAAAGUUGUGCAAUGUCAUUUUCGCCAUUUAAUUCUGUUAAACAAAAUACAUGCAAUGAAAUGUGAUGGAUAAGACACUGUGGUGGAAAUGUUUAUGACGUAUUAGAAUAAAAUGGUGAAACUGACAGAAUUUACUGAUGCAUAUAUGUCCACUUUUAGACAUUGUUAGUUGACAAAUUGAAUAAAACUAGCAAGACUAUAAAACAUAUUUUAUGAAAGCUUCUAAACAUCCACAUGGCCAAAAGCGCCCUAGUUGAAGAAACAUCCAAUUUUUGUAAGUGUGUUAACUUUUAACCGUAAAUGUUACCCUUUUUAAAGGGUUAGUUCACCCAAAAAUGAAACUUCUGUCAAUAAUUACUCGCAAUCAUGUCAUUCCAAACCCAUAAGACCUUCAUUUAUCUUCAGAACACAAAUUAAGAUAUUUUUAAUGAAAUCUGAGAGGUAUCUGAACCACACAUAUGCAGCAACGUCAUUGCUUAAGGUUAUGAAGCGACGAGAAUACUUUUUGUAUUUGUCAACAACUUUGUCUCUUCCCUGUCAUUCUCCUAUUCUUCCAGGUUCUACGUCAGAAUGCUGGCUCCUGCGUUAGCAUCAUACGCAUGCGUUGCGCUGCUCAGGUGAACAGCAUCAGCCAAUACUGAGCUGACAUAGUGUUCAUAGUGACAUGACAUAGUGACAUGGUGUUCUGACAUAGAACCUGGAAGCGCUGAACGUAAACAGCAUAGGAGAAUGACAGGGAAGAGAUGAAAUUGUUGAAUAAUUAUUUUUGUUUUGUUUUGUUUUUGCACACAAAAAGUAUUCUCUUCACUUCAUAACAUUAAGGUUGAACAACUAUAGUCACAUGGACUAUUUUAACGAUGUCUUUACUACCUUUUUGGACCUUGAAAAGGCAAUGACGUUGCUGCCUAUGUGGGUUCAGACACUUCCUUGAUUUCAUCAAUAAUAUCUUAAUUUGUGUUCCGAAGAUGAACGAAGUUCUUGGAAUGACACGAGGGUGAGUACUUAAUGACAGAAAUUUAAUAUUUGGGUGAACUAACCGUUUAAUGGUGUGAUGCUGUUGAAACUCAAAAUGAGUGAGUUUGAGAAACUCAACCAGGGGUUGCCAGGUCUGCGGGUGGGUGGAUCAGAGUGGCAAAUUUGUAUUCAAAUUUGAAAAGUAUCCCAGUUCCAUGGGAAAACCGCGGACUUGACAACACUGAACUCAACAGUAACCUGUAUUUACAUGCAAGGAAUGUGACAUUGUAUUAGAAGAAUGUGUUUAACCACUGCUGAGUCUAUUUAAAUCAAGGCUUAGAAGAUUAAUAACCGGUUUGGUUAAAUCAAGAACAAGAGAUCAAAGUCCUCUGCUUUAAAUGAUAGACUGCAUUUCAUUCACUAAUGGAGAAUUAGAGGCAGCACUGCCUCGCACAGUUAUCACCAUAAGAUCUACGGUCACCUUUGCACUUAUAAUAUGCAAGACAUCAACAAUUUUAUCUUUUUUUUUUUUUUUUUCUCCGAAAUUUAAGUGUUCUUGUCCUGAAGUAUUAAACUUUAUUUCAUUUAUAAACAUGUUUAUAUAUAUAUAUAUAUAUAUAUAUACUUUUAAACUAUUUUUUAAUAAUUUUUAAUAUUUGUUUGUAUUUUUAAUAUUAUUGAUUUUUUUAUGCUUCAUAAAUGUUGGAAGAAAUUUUAUAUUAAAGUUGGAAAAGCUUCCGUUGACUUAUGUAAUGAAAACAGUGAUGAUGUCAAUGUGAUUUUUGCAUAUUAAAUUGUU
Long non-coding RNA from Ctenopharyngodon idella (grass carp), 3127 nucleotides. RefSeq lists it as uncharacterized. The transcript is spliced from 6 exons. The record is from RefSeq and is a predicted model, not a curated record. NCBI's taxonomy places the organism in Eukaryota, Metazoa, Chordata, Actinopteri, Cypriniformes, Xenocyprididae.